CGGGUGAGUAUGUAUGGGAUCUGCCUGAUGGCGGGGGAUAACUACUGGAAACGGUAGCUAAUACCGCAUAACGUCGCAAGACCAAAGAGGGGGACCGUUCGGGCCUCUUGCCAUCGGAUGUGCCCAGAUGGGAUUAGCUAGUAGGUGGGGUAACGGCUCACCUAGGCGACGAUCCCUAGCUGGUCUGAGAGGAUGACCAGCCACACUGGAACUGAGACACGGUCCAG
This 227-nucleotide ribosomal RNA is filed under the name uncultured bacterium. Its description in RNAcentral is "partial 16S ribosomal RNA". It matches the Rfam family "Bacterial small subunit ribosomal RNA", at positions 103 to 334 of the family's 1533-position model. The record is from RNAcentral.